This 446-nucleotide ribosomal RNA is filed under the name uncultured bacterium. RNAcentral's name for it is "partial 16S ribosomal RNA". It matches the Rfam family "Bacterial small subunit ribosomal RNA", at positions 338 to 795 of the family's 1533-position model. The record is from RNAcentral.
CCUACGGGAGGCAGCAGUCGAGAAUCAUUCACAAUGGGGGAAACCCUGAUGGUGCGACGCCGCGUGGGGGAAUGAAGGUCUUCGGAUUUUAAACCCCUGUCAUGUGGGAGCAAAUGAAAAAGAUAGUACCAUAAGAGGAAGAGACGGCUAACUCUGUGCCAGCAGCCGCGGUAAUACAGAGGUCGCAAGCGUUGUCCGGAAUCACUGGGCGUAAAGCGUGCGUAGGCUGUUUCGUAAGUCGUGUGUGAAAGGCGCGGGCUCAACCCGCGGACGGCACAUGAUACUGCGAGGCUAGAGUAAUGGAGGGGGGACCAGAAUUCUCGGUGUAGCAGUGAAAUGCGUAGAUAUCGGGAGGAACACUCGUGGCGAAGGCGGGUUCCUGGACAUUAACUGACGCUGAGGCACGAAGGCCAGGGGAGCGAAAGGGAUUAGAUACCCGAGUAGUC